UAGUGGCGGACGGGUGAGUAACGCGUGGGAAUCUGCCCUCAGGAGGGGGAUAACGGUUGGAAACGACCGCUAAUACCCCAUAUGCCGAGAGGUGAAACGAAAUUCGCCUGAGGAUGAGCCCGCGUCUGAUUAGCCAGUUGGUGGGGUAAGGGCCUACCAAGGCAUCGAUCAGUAGCUGGUCUGAGAGGAUGAUCAGCCACACUGGGACUGAGACACGGCCCAGACUCCUACGGGAGGCAGCAGUGGGGAAUUUUCCGCAAUGGGCGCAAGCCUGACGGAGCAACGCCGCGUGAGGGAUGAAGGCCUCUGGGCUGUAAACCUCUUUUCUCAAGGAAGAAGAACUGACGGUACUUGAGGAAUAAGCCACGGCUAA
This 373-nucleotide ribosomal RNA is filed under the name uncultured bacterium. RNAcentral describes it as "bacterial SSU rRNA". It matches the Rfam family "Bacterial small subunit ribosomal RNA", at positions 93 to 500 of the family's 1533-position model. The record is from RNAcentral.